This 358-nucleotide ribosomal RNA is filed under the name uncultured bacterium. RNAcentral describes it as "bacterial SSU rRNA". It matches the Rfam family "Bacterial small subunit ribosomal RNA", at positions 29 to 420 of the family's 1533-position model. The record is from RNAcentral.
AACGAACGCUGGCGGCAGGCUUAACACAUGCAAGUCGAGCGCGUAGCAAUACGAGCGGCAGACGGGUGAGUAACGCGUGGGAAUCUACCCAACCCUACGGAAUAACGCAUGGAAACGUGUGCUAAUACCGUAUACGCCCUUUGGGGGAAAGAUUUAUCGGGGAUGGAUGAGCCCGCGUUGGAUUAGCUAGUUGGUGGGUAAAGCCUACCAAGGCGACGAUCCAUAGCUGGUCUGAGAGGAUGAUCAGCCACAUUGGGACUGAGACACGGCCCAGACUCCUACGGGAGGCAGCAGUGGGAAUUUGGACAAUGGGCGCAAGCCUGAUCCAGCAAUGCCGCGUGCAGGAUGAAGGCCUCGG